This 497-nucleotide ribosomal RNA is filed under the name uncultured bacterium. RNAcentral describes it as "partial 16S ribosomal RNA". It matches the Rfam family "Bacterial small subunit ribosomal RNA", at positions 28 to 507 of the family's 1533-position model. The record is from RNAcentral.
GAUGAACGCUGGCGGCGUGCCUAACACAUGCAAGUCGAGCGGACGGACAGUAAGCUUUUUUUUUUAAUGUUAGCGGCUGACGGGUGAGUGACACGUGGAUCCCCUUCUUAUUUUUCUGGGGUAAUUUCGUGAAGCCGGUUCUACUACUGCCUGAUAUUUUCAACCGCUUGGUUCAAAGGUUCUAGGCGGUUUUGCUGUCACUUUUAGAUGGUUCCGCGCUGCAUUAGCUAGUUGGUAAGGUACCGGCUUACCAAGGCGACGAUGCAUAGCCGAACUGAGAGGGUGAUCAGCCACACUGGAACUGAGACACGGUCCAGACUCCUACGGGAGGCAGCAGUAGGGAAUCUUACGCAAUGGGCGAAAGCCUGACGGAGCAACGCCGCGUGAGUGAAGAAGGUCUUCGGAUCGUAAAACUCUGUUGUUAGGGAAGAAAAGAUGUGGAAGAAAAUGUGGAGAUCGUGACGGUACCGAAAGAAAAAGCAACGGCUAACUACGUG